This 253-nucleotide ribosomal RNA is filed under the name uncultured bacterium. Its description in RNAcentral is "partial 16S ribosomal RNA". It matches the Rfam family "Bacterial small subunit ribosomal RNA", at positions 524 to 776 of the family's 1533-position model. The record is from RNAcentral.
UACAGAGGGUGCAAGCGUUGUUCGGAAUCAUUGGGCGUAAAGCGCGUGUAGGCGGUUCAGUAAGUCUGCUGUGAAAGUCCAGGGCUCAACCCUGGGAUGCCGGUGGAUACUGCUGGACUAGAGUGCGGAAGAGGCGAGUGGAAUUCCCGGUGUAGCGGUGAAAUGCGCAGAUAUCGGGAGGAACACCAAUUGCGAAGGCAGCUCGCUGGGACGUUACUGACGCUGAGACGCGAAAGCGUGGGGAGCAAACAGG